Long non-coding RNA from Dendroctonus ponderosae (mountain pine beetle), 800 nucleotides. RefSeq lists it as uncharacterized. Lineage: Eukaryota; Metazoa; Arthropoda; Insecta; Coleoptera; Curculionidae. The transcript is spliced from 3 exons. The record is from RefSeq and is a predicted model, not a curated record.
ACUGUGCCAAUAAGCAAUUUGACGUAUUUGCAACGCUCUUUUGGCAAACUAUUAAUAUAGCCAAACAUUGCGAAACUUGCUUAUAGUUUGGUAAAAUUCUACCUGAUAAACAUACGAUUCUAUAAUUGUUUUCAACAAAAAAAUAGCAAAUGUUAAAGUACCAUACCAAACACCAAUGUCUCCUUAGCAUCACUGACGGACAUAAAUUGAAGAAUAAUACAGAAUCUAAAGGGCCAAAACGUCGACCUAAACAGAUUGAUGAAAUAAAUGAUCAUAAACUCUUCAAAGCAGCACUAAUACUAAAAUCUAUUCCAAAACGACCAUGAAAUAAGAUGAUCUUUCAACUUCAAAUCGACGAGCUGAAAACUUCGGGAUCAACAACUCGGCAGUUUUAGUUUCACGAGUUGGCACAUUGUUCAAAAGAAGCUGUGACGGAGAUCUACUAUUUAGACCAUGAGUCGAAUCUCAACGAAUUUAUCACGUCCAUUUAGCACUUGUUUCCAACGAAUACGUCACUGGGUUCAAACUGGCCAUGGCCUGACACGAAGAUGGGCGGACAGGAAAAACCCGAUUUGUGGACAACAAUGCCCAACUGUUGAGUUGCAAAGCGCUAAUCGACACUUUUAGAUUCUAAUCAUAGUGCCAACACAACAAAUAAAGAGUGAAUCGAGAAGAACGGAUCUCACUUCAAGGGCGUAUUCGGCAUGUGAAAUAAAACAAGUGAAAAUUUUUUCAAUGUUAUUUGACUUUCGUUUGAAUUCUUGCAAUAACAUCGCAAUAAAUAAUUGAUUAACGUUGAA